CUGCUAUAGUUAGUGCACGGUUAGUAGUUGCUGUCUUUCACGUUUCGAUGAGUAUAAAGUGAACUAUUAAACAUUUCAAAAAGUUUGUUAAGUAGCAAAAUGUGGUAAAGCAGAUUAAGUGUGAAACCAACAUUAUAGUGAGAUCCUUGUGAAUGGAAAAUAGCAUGAUCCAGGCUGUUCUUCAAUUGCAAAGAAAGAGAAUUAUGAUUGAAACAAAUGCAAAAUUUCCAACUGGAAUUCUCUUCAUAUUCGUGGUAAUUUUGGAAUUCCAGAGAAUAACACCUUAAAAAGAAAGAACUGUGGCUGUGCUAAUGUAGCAGUAUUGCGUGAGUAUUAGGUUUAUUAUUACCUGUUUUUGUUUGGUAUGAGUUUUUCUUAUUUUAGUAUAAGUCUCGAUUUAGCUAGAGCAGGGAUCCUUUUCAUUUUGCUGUUUAAAAUUUUAAACAUCUCUUGUUUACAAGGCUAGACGAUGGCUUAGAUCGUUUUUCGUCAGUCAGAAAAAAACAGUAGUUUCACUGUUUCAGUUACUUUUACUUUACGCAAUUCUAAAGACAUUUAUCGGUUGUUAACGUUAGAUAAUUUUGUGUGAUAACCGACCGUAAGCCACAAAGCUCACUUGUUAGACAUUGGUAAUUUGCUUGCCUACUUUCGGAUUUUAAAGGAGUUAGUACUUCAUUUAGUACUUAUUAGACGCCCAAAAGAACUAACAGUCGAAUGUGAAAUUCGGCUUUUUCCUGAAUUAAUCCUGAAUUAAUUUCCUGAAUUGUUACUGAACUACAGGAUAUGGCAUAAGACAACAAUUAGUGCAUAUUCUUGAUUUGCUGAUUUGAUUCAAUAUUUUUGAAGUGCUCUCCAUUAUUUUUUGUUGACUUGUUUCUCUACGCCUCAUAAU
This is a long non-coding RNA of Daphnia pulex (common water flea), 892 nucleotides long. RefSeq lists it as uncharacterized. The record is from RefSeq and is a predicted model, not a curated record. The transcript is spliced from 3 exons. NCBI's taxonomy places the organism in Eukaryota, Metazoa, Arthropoda, Branchiopoda, Diplostraca, Daphniidae.